Astatotilapia calliptera (eastern happy) is the source of this 1860-nucleotide long non-coding RNA. Lineage: Eukaryota; Metazoa; Chordata; Actinopteri; Cichliformes; Cichlidae. The record is from Ensembl.
UUCGUCCAGCGAGGUCCGACGGAACCGAGGUCGGUCUCCGUGUCGAAGGGUGGAAGUGGAGUAGCGUGUGCAGCCAUGUUCUUGUCUCUUAAGCUCCGGGUAGGGCAACUUUCUUCGUCUUGCUUUGGUUGUAACCUUUACUCUCGUCGCCAAUGUAAUGUUUGCAUGCCUCAAACAUUAAUGAUCACACCUUCAGUAAUUCUCAGUUCCAUUCUUUUAUUCUCAGGCUUGCAGCGAUAACACAGUCUGCAGCGCUAACUUGUUCAUUUUUUUCGUUUCCUGUUCGACCUUUCAAAAUAAAACAUCUGUAAACAUCAUAGACCUUGUCACAUGUGAGCCACCCACAUCAACAGGAUGGGAACUCAUGUGGAGUGCAUGUCAUAAUGGUACUGAAAACUAUAGCUUUAACCUAUAUAAGUAAUGUUUACAUUUUUGCCUAUUCAGUUUUUAAAGCCUUAGAGGCAGGAUGGUAAAAUCUCAAUUUUUUUUGUAGAUUGAACCAUUUCAGCAGUAAUGCUUUGCUUUGGUUGCUCUGUUUUUUUUUUUUCUUGGGGGGGGGGUUAAAAACAAACAAACAUUUCUUUGUUAAUCUAAUUCUUUUCUAAUCAGUUCUUUUUUUCUUUUUUUUCUUCGUCAAUUAUUAGUUUGCCCAAUCUCUCAUUGACGGUAAAACACAAGUGGAGGAGUACAACACUGAAAUCACAAAGCUCAGGUCCCGACUUUGCCACUACUUAUUUUCCUCAAUAGGUAAAGAUAAAAUUAGCUGCCUUCUUUUUCUCUAACAUUGGAAAAUGUAACUUGUACUGAAACAAAUUAUAUUUUGCAGAUCGAACUAGGAAGUGCAGUCAGUGCUGGUGUGUGAUUGCAGCCAAAGACCGGGUACACUAUGACAUGUCCUUAGCCAUAUAGAUUGUUUAUUUAAUGGACUUUGUUCAUUUGUUUUUUGUUUGUUUAUUUCUUCUUCUUCUUUUUUUUUUAAUUCACAGGUGCAGUGCCAGAAAUGUGGUGCAUACAAGCACAUGCGUUGUUCAAAGUCUGUUUGUGGCAUCUGUAUCUUCUGUGAGAGUAAGUCACAAUAUAACUAAAUGUAACCUGGACGUGUGUCCCUCUAUCUAUAAAGAGAUGAUCUAUACUGCUCGCCCAAGUGCAAUGUCUACAAUAUCCGAAUCUAGGUUUGGGAAGGAGAUUGGCGGUAGCAACUCUGUAAGAGCAAUGAGACUUCCAACCCACAUAACACGCACGACCACAGGUUUAUGAAACAAAGUUUGCUUUAUAUAUUUCCUUUUGGAUCAGUUCCCUUUGCUCAUCCUCAAUGUAGGGAUACCUUCAAAUGCAGUAACCAUCUCAAAUGCAUCACAAAAAUAAUUGAAACAAUCAAAAUAGAUGUAAGACAAGAAACACAAUAUUUCAACACCCCAAAGAAAAGGAAAAAGAAAAGAAAAUAGCAUGUGAGUGUCCAGUUCCUUAUGGUGUCAGUUUAUUCAGUUACCCACUGUCCUGGGUUAAGAACUGAAAACGACCUGAAUCUCAGGCGGAGAAAAAGUAGCAAAGAAAAUGAUAAGGUAUCUCUCAGGUGGGCUUCCUUUUGUUUUUUCCCUACCGCCCUCCUGGUACGGCAGGCAUCAACGUGUCGGCGUCCUGACACAGAGAAGGCCUCCACAGCAGCAACAGUGUCUUAGACCCACGAUACCAGCUCCUCACUUGGCACCCAUGGAACUGUACCUCAAAAAAAAAACCAGUCUGCACACAAAUACGCAGAAUGUUAGAUGUCCACAUUCCUUAAAUGUCCUUGUUCCUAAUGUCCUUGGUUCUUUUGAAAUAUUAAAAUAAAUCUGCAUCUUGUGACACAUUAAAAGUAAA